GAACGAUUAGCUCAGCUGGAUAGAGCGUCUGGCUACGGACCAGAAGGUCGGGGGUUCGAAUCCUCUAUCGUUCG
RNAcentral lists this transfer RNA (74 nucleotides) under Finegoldia magna. RNAcentral describes it as "tRNA-Arg". It matches the Rfam family "tRNA". Rfam says of the family: Transfer RNA (tRNA) molecules are approximately 80 nucleotides in length. Their secondary structure includes four short double-helical elements and three loops (D, anti-codon, and T loops). Further hydrogen bonds mediate the characteristic L-shaped molecular structure. tRNAs have two regions of fundamental functional importance: the anti-codon, which is responsible for specific mRNA codon recognition, and the 3' end, to which the tRNAs corresponding amino acid is attached (by aminoacyl-tRNA synthetases). tRNAs cope with the degeneracy of the genetic code in two manners: having more than one tRNA (with a specific anti-codon) for a particular amino acid; and 'wobble' base-pairing, i.e. permitting non-standard base-pairing at the 3rd anti-codon position. RNAcentral also lists the same sequence under 1 other name. Lineage: Bacteria; Bacillati; Bacillota; Tissierellia; Tissierellales; Peptoniphilaceae. The record is from RNAcentral.